CNACCUGCCGACAACACUGGGAUAGCCUUUCGAAAGAAAGAUUAAUACCGGAUGGCAUAGUUUUUCCGCAUGGGAUAAUUAUUAAAGAAUUUCGGUUGUCGAUGGGGAUGCGUUCCAUUAGGCAGUUGGCGGGGUAACGGCCCACCAAACCAACGAUGGAUAGGGGUUCUGAGAGGAAGGUCCCCCACAUUGGAACUGAGACACGGUCCAAACUCCUACGGGAGGCAGCAGUGAGGAAUAUUGGUCAAUGGACGAGAGUCUGAACCAGCCAAGUAGCGUGAAGGAUGACUGCCCUAUGGGUUGUAAACUUCUUUUAUACGGGAAUAAAGUUAGCCACGUGUGGCUUUUUGUAUGUACCGUAUGAAUAAGGAUCGGCUAACUCCGUGCCAGCAGCCGCGGUAAUACGGAGGAUCCGAGCGUUAUCCGGAUUUAUUGGGUUUAAAGGGAGCGUAGGCGGGUUGUUAAGUCAGUUGUGAAAGUUUGCGGCUCAACCGUAAAAUUGCAGUUGAUACUGGCGACCUUGAGUGCAACAGAGGUAGGCGGAAUUCGUGGUGUAGCGGUGAAAUGCUUAGAUAUCACGAAGAACUCCGAUUG
Molecule: ribosomal RNA, 594 nt
Filed under: uncultured Bacteroidota bacterium
Lineage: Bacteria; Pseudomonadati; Bacteroidota
Description: bacterial SSU rRNA
Rfam family: Bacterial small subunit ribosomal RNA
Source: RNAcentral